RNAcentral lists this ribosomal RNA (164 nucleotides) under uncultured bacterium. Its description in RNAcentral is "partial 16S ribosomal RNA". It matches the Rfam family "Bacterial small subunit ribosomal RNA", at positions 355 to 511 of the family's 1533-position model. The record is from RNAcentral.
UAGGGAAUCUUCCACAAUGGACGAAAGUCUGAUGGAGCAACGCCGCGUGAGUGAAGAAGGGUUUCGGCUCGUAAAACUCUGUUGUUAAAGAAGAACAUAUCUGAGAGUAACUGUUCAGGUAUUGUCGGUAUUUAACCAGAAAGCCACGGCUAACUACGUGCCAA